AGAGUUUGAUCCUGGCUCAGAAUGAACGCUGGCGGCGUGCUUUACACAUGCAAGUCGAGCGAGGCGGGGAGCAAUCCCCAGUCGAGCGGCGAACGGGUGAGUAACGCGUGGAUGACCUGCCCUUUAGUGGGGAAUAACCCGGGGAAACUCGGGCUAAUACCGCAUAAGACCGAGAGGUGAAAGCGGGGUCGCAAGAUCUCGUGCUGAAGGAGGGGUCCGCGUUCGAUUAGCUAGUUGGUAGGGUAAUGGCCUACCAAGGCGACGAUCGAUAGCCGGCCUGAGAGGGUGAUCGGCCACACUGGAACUGAGACACGGUCCACACUCCUACGGGAGGCAGCAGUGGGGAUUUUUGCGCAGUGGGCUAACGCCUGACGCACCACCGCCGCGUGGAGGAUGAAGGUCUUUGGAUUGUAAACUCCUGUCAGCAAGAAAAAAGCGACCUGACCUAAUACGUCAGGGAGUUGAUUGCACCUGCAAAGGAAGCCCCGGCUAACUCU
Molecule: ribosomal RNA, 497 nt
Filed under: uncultured bacterium
Lineage: Bacteria
Description: bacterial SSU rRNA
Rfam family: Bacterial small subunit ribosomal RNA
Source: RNAcentral